GUUCCACGAUCAGGCUCUGGUCCGUGACGGGAUGGCAGAAAACUUCUUGAUUGUCGGGGACCGGUCGGAGGUCGCUGGAGUGAGGCGAGGGCCAGUCUCCUUGACCUGAUAACAGGAACUCAUGACUUUAACUGGACAAAUGAGGUGGUUAAUGAUGAACUUAUGAGAGAACCUGUUCUGUCUGGCUUUCUCAGAGGAAGCAGGUAGGUUGGGAGUUUGCCAAAUGGGUAUGAUGAAAAGGUCAUAGCUCAAGUGAAGGGGCUUUGGAAAGGCUGUUACUGGAAGCUGGAUAAGGAGGGAAGAAAUGGAGCAAUGGAUUAGGGUAAAGUAAUUAUUGCAUUGGAGGUCCUAAUUACAUUGAAAUCUCAGAGUAUUGUAGAUAAAGAAGCAAGAUGGAAGGAAAGGGCCGGGCACGGUGGCUCAUGCCUGUCAUCCCAGCACUUUGG
Long non-coding RNA from Cercocebus atys (sooty mangabey), 446 nucleotides. RefSeq lists it as uncharacterized. The transcript is spliced from 3 exons. Lineage: Eukaryota; Metazoa; Chordata; Mammalia; Primates; Cercopithecidae. The record is from RefSeq and is a predicted model, not a curated record.